This 54-nucleotide ribosomal RNA is filed under the name Bisboeckelera irrigua. RNAcentral describes it as "partial 26S ribosomal RNA". Lineage: Eukaryota; Viridiplantae; Streptophyta; Magnoliopsida; Poales; Cyperaceae. The record is from RNAcentral.
UACCCCAGGUCAGGCGGGGCUACCCGCUGAGUUUAAGCAUAUCAAUAAGCGGAG